RNAcentral lists this ribosomal RNA (1257 nucleotides) under metagenome. Its description in RNAcentral is "bacterial LSU rRNA". It matches the Rfam family "Bacterial large subunit ribosomal RNA", at positions 1691 to 2925 of the family's 2925-position model. The record is from RNAcentral.
UGAGAGAACUCGGGUGAAGGAACUAGGCAAAAUGGUGCCGUAACUUCGGGAGAAGGCACGCUGAUAUGUAGGUGAAGCGACUUGCUCGUGGAGCUGAAAUCAGUCGAAGAUACCAGCUGGCUGCAACUGUUUAUUAAAAACACAGCACUGUGCAAACACGAAAGUGGACGUAUACGGUGUGACGCCUGCCCGGUGCCGGAAGGUUAAUUGAUGGGGUUAGCGCAAGCGAAGCUCUUGAUCGAAGCCCCGGUAAACGGCGGCCGUAACGAUAACGGUCCUAAGGUAGCGAAAUUCCUUGUCGGGUAAGUUCCGACCUGCACGAAUGGCGUAAUGAUGGCCAGGCUGUCUCCACCCGAGACUCAGUGAAAUUGGACUCGCUGUGAAGAUGCAGUGUACCCGCGGCAAGACGGAAAGACCCCGUGAACCUUUACUAUAGCUUGACACUGAACAUUGAGCCUUGAUGUGUAGGAUAGGUGGGAGGCUUAGAAGUGUGGACGCCAGUCUGCAUGGAGCCGACCUUGAAAUACCACCCUUUAAUGUUUGAUGUUCUAACGUUGACCCGUAAUCCGGGUUGCGGACAGUGUCUGGUGGGUAGUUUGACUGGGGCGGUCUCCUCCUAAAGAGUAACGGAGGAGCACGAAGGUUGGCUAAUCCUGGUCGGACAUCAGGAGGUUAGUGCAAUGGCAUAAGCCAGCUUGACUGCGAGCGUGACGGCGCGAGCAGGUGCGAAAGCAGGUCAUAGUGAUCCGGUGGUUCUGAAUGGAAGGGCCAUCGCUCAACGGAUAAAAGGUACUCCGGGGAUAACAGGCUGAUACCGCCCAAGAGUUCAUAUCGACGGCGGUGUUUGGCACCUCGAUGUCGGCUCAUCACAUCCUGGGGCUGAAGUAGGUCCCAAGGGUAUGGCUGUUCGCCAUUUAAAGUGGUACGCGAGCUGGGUUUAGAACGUCGUGAGACAGUUCGGUCCCUAUCUGCCGUGGGCGCUGGAGAACUGAGGGGGGCUGCUCCUAGUACGAGAGGACCGGAGUGGACGCAUCACUGGUGUUCGGGUUGUCAUGCCAAUGGCACUGCCCGGUAGCUAAAUGCGGAAGAGAUAAGUGCUGAAAGCAUCUAAGCACGAAACUUGCCCCGAGAUGAGUUCUCCCUGACCCUUUAAGGGUCCUGAAGGAACGCUGAAGACGACGACGUUGAUAGGCCGGGUGUGUAAGCGCAGCGAUGCGUUGAGCUAACCGGUACUAAUGAACCGUGAGGCUUAACCUA